This 1707-nucleotide long non-coding RNA is filed under the name Salmo salar (Atlantic salmon). RNAcentral describes it as "lncRNA (ENSSSAG00000096179.1)". The record is from RNAcentral. Lineage: Eukaryota; Metazoa; Chordata; Actinopteri; Salmoniformes; Salmonidae.
UUGAAAAGCCAUUGUUAAGUUCUCCUAUUGUUCAGUUAUGGUUAACGCUUAAAUUUGAGUGUUUUCUACCCUCUAACAUCCACGAAACAGAUCAGUAUUAUCAUAUCAACUUGAAAAAACAUGCCGCAAAUGUAUUUGACUGUUCUAACCAUUGUUACAGAACACAAACUCCUCAUGGUGACAGCUUAUUAUGUUUGUCUCCUGUGAGGAGUAUUACUACUCACCCUGCCUGUAGUGCAAUAAUGUUGUAACUGUACUGUAUAAUAUAACACAUGAUGUCAAGGAAGAGAUGGCUGAGAGGGACCAAAAUGACCAGUGAUUCAUGAAUCUGGUUCACUAGUUUAGCACCAGAGUUAUCACAACUAGCUACCUAUCAUAUGCACAGCUGUCCUUCUGCAUUUCCAGAAUCUCAUCUACUAUACCCAUUUAUCUUUGUGCCCCAUUACUCAGCAGUAAGAUUAUCUCUGUGCCUCAUUACUCAGUAAGAUUAUCCCUGUGCCCCAUUACUCAGUAAGAUUAUCUCUGUGCCCCAUUACUCAGUAAGAUUAUCUCUGUGCCCCAUUACUCAGUAAGAUUAUCUCUGUGCCCCAUUACUCAGUAAUAUUAUCCCUGUGCCCCAUUACUCAGUAAGAUUAUCCCUCCUGCCAGUGUUGCCAAUAAACUCAGGGUGUAUGGGGACUGUGGAGUGCCCAUGCAUGUCCUUGAAGCCUCUUGAGCCUGUGAACACCACUCUCUCUGCCCCUGUACCGUCUGGUUCCCUUUCAAAGCACCUCUUGUUACUGAGCUGUGCAGUGUCUCAUUGACUGUUCCCCUCCACUACCAAGUGAACUGCUCUAGGCAGCCUUCUGAGAGGUACACUGUUCAUGUUUGCCUUAGCCAGUUCGGCUCUCUCAUCUCAGAGGUUCAAAGGAGGCCGGCUGAGAGCUCGAACAAAAUCCCCAUCUUGCCUGAAUGCGGCCAUGCGUCAUGGUAGGGCUCCACUGACUCCAUAUUUGUCCACUUUGCAGCUUCUGUAAAGCGUAGAUAGUAUUAGUAUACCAUAUUAGUAUUGGUGUUACUUUAUCUUUAUCAGAGCAUAGUGCAUUAAGUAUCCGUCAAUAUGAAACAGGUUGCAAUGUACUGUAAACCAUUACUAGGGAUUUUAUUCAUGUUGAGGCCUCAAAAUAUUGGUUAAAAUAUUCAAUACAGUAAAAUGUACAUAACUCAUAGAAAUGUGUGCAUAUCGAUUUGGAAAUGUAUUGCUCAAAGCCAUGAUGAAUGUACAGUAUAUGUAGAGAUCAGUCUCUGACCAUGGUCUUGAGGAACCAUAACGGUUGGUUUUCAUUGAACAAUUUCACUUGAGGUACUAUCUGAAGCAAGCUCAUCACAGACCUGUUGCUUACCAAACUGGAGCAUGGUGCUGAUAUUGUAGUUACACUAGUUCUGUUCAGCAUUGGUUCUCCUCUGUUCAGAAUGGAAGUCCUUCAGCAAGCGUAAUCUGUAUGCAUGUUGAGAGGCUGAAGUGUUACGUAUGAGUGAAAUAGACUCGAGUGCUGAGAAUCUACAUUUUCAGCUAUUUUGUUUAAAGGUAGUUGACUUGGAGAGAUAGUUGACAAUAGACACUAUUGUAAAAAGUACUGUGAUAUGUUUCCUGUUGAAUAUGUCAUUGUGAAACUAAAGUAAAUAACGUUUUAUAUGCAGUCCUUAUUUAAAAACUAGAGAUGUGAG